This 489-nucleotide ribosomal RNA is filed under the name Bacteroides fragilis. RNAcentral's name for it is "bacterial SSU rRNA". It matches the Rfam family "Bacterial small subunit ribosomal RNA", at positions 1036 to 1533 of the family's 1533-position model. The record is from RNAcentral. Lineage: Bacteria; Pseudomonadati; Bacteroidota; Bacteroidia; Bacteroidales; Bacteroidaceae.
AGGUGCUGCAUGGUUGUCGUCAGCUCGUGCCGUGAGGUGUCGGCUUAAGUGCCAUAACGAGCGCAACCCUUAUCUUCAGUUACUAACAGGUCAUGCUGAGGACUCUGGAGAGACUGCCGUCGUAAGAUGUGAGGAAGGUGGGGAUGACGUCAAAUCAGCACGGCCCUUACGUCCGGGGCUACACACGUGUUACAAUGGGGGGUACAGAAGGCAGCUAGCGGGUGACCGUAUGCUAAUCCCAAAAGCCUCUCUCAGUUCGGAUCGAAGUCUGCAACCCGACUUCGUGAAGCUGGAUUCGCUAGUAAUCGCGCAUCAGCCACGGCGCGGUGAAUACGUUCCCGGGCCUUGUACACACCGCCCGUCAAGCCAUGGGAGCCGGGGGUACCUGAAGUACGUAACCGCAAGGAUCGUCCUAGGGUAAAACUGGUGACUGGGGCUAAGUCGUAACAAGGUAGCCGUACCGGAAGGUGCGGCUGGAACACCUCCUUU